RNAcentral lists this transfer RNA (65 nucleotides) under Triticum aestivum (bread wheat). It matches the Rfam family "tRNA", at positions 5 to 66 of the family's 71-position model. Rfam says of the family: Transfer RNA (tRNA) molecules are approximately 80 nucleotides in length. Their secondary structure includes four short double-helical elements and three loops (D, anti-codon, and T loops). Further hydrogen bonds mediate the characteristic L-shaped molecular structure. tRNAs have two regions of fundamental functional importance: the anti-codon, which is responsible for specific mRNA codon recognition, and the 3' end, to which the tRNAs corresponding amino acid is attached (by aminoacyl-tRNA synthetases). tRNAs cope with the degeneracy of the genetic code in two manners: having more than one tRNA (with a specific anti-codon) for a particular amino acid; and 'wobble' base-pairing, i.e. permitting non-standard base-pairing at the 3rd anti-codon position. Lineage: Eukaryota; Viridiplantae; Streptophyta; Magnoliopsida; Poales; Poaceae. The record is from Rfam by way of RNAcentral. RNAcentral also lists the same sequence under 2 other names.
GGGUAGAGGAAUUGGUCAACUCAUCAGGCUCAUGACCUGAAGACUGCAGGUUCGAAUCCUGUCCC